Molecule: long non-coding RNA, 6660 nt
Filed under: Homo sapiens (human)
Lineage: Eukaryota; Metazoa; Chordata; Mammalia; Primates; Hominidae
Source: RNAcentral
CUUUAUAAGGCUAAGUUUCCUAGCACAAGUUCUCUUUGCCUGCUGCAAUCCAUGUAAGAUGUGACUUGUUCCUCCUUGCCUUCUGCCAUGAUUGUGAGGCCUCCACAGCCAUGCGGAACUGUUGAAAUACACACUACCUGAAGCUGGAUAACUCAUGAACUCUGUUGACAAUUAUAUUCUUUGUCUUUUUAAUUAACUCAUUUGGAGUUGGUGUCCUGAGGACCUAAGCCUAAGAAUCUUCAAGAUGGAAGAGUAGAGUGAACAAUGAAUGAGCCAGAGGGCUCUUGUCCUCUGUGUGCAGCUCUGGGCAGCCAGCAGGUGGAUAUGGGACUUGGCCUGCUGGAGGGGCCCUGGCAAGAGGAGCUGGCAGGAGCAGAUGGCAAAGGUGGAGUCUCGCACUGUCAUCCUGGCUGGAAUGCAGUGGUGCAAGCCGACUCACUGCAACCUCUGCCUCUUGGGUUCAAGUGAUUCUCCUGCUUCAGCCUCCUGAUUUGCUGGGAUUGCAGAGCAAACCAGUGAAAAAAUGGCCUUCGCACUCCUGAGAGACCUUUCACCGGGCUUUCUACUUUUGAAUUCUCUCCAUAGCUGGUUUCCUCUUAGGCCUCGAUAGAGCAGUCCCUGAAUCACACAGGUAUGCUGACUACGUCUUUUCCUGGUACAAACCAUCAUGGGGGAAACACACAGCAAGAAGCAUCUUCAGGUCACAAGAUAGACUUUGGGAAUCACCCAACUGAUGGAAAGAACCAGGAAAGGGGUCAGGAUCUGCACCUUGGCAAACUUUGAAGAACACCCAAUUUGAUGAAUGAAAACUCCUCACUUGUGCUCUGGUGGUGUUUUAGGACAAUGGGCCCCUCCUGGGUAAUAGUUAUUGAUGCAGUCUCUAUCAGUAACCACCCCAAGUUUGAGAUCCUUUACAAGGGAAGGUCAUAUUUCCAAAACUGAAACCUUGACCAAGUAUCCCAGAGAGAUAGGAAGGAGAUACCACUCAAGUGUGUCAUGGGCCUGUCCCAGGGCCUGGGAGUCAGCAGUUGGUGGCCUGGGAUCCAAGGGUUAACAGCAUGACCUGUUCUGGCUGGCACCAGUCACAUGGUGUGCCCAACCUCACUGUUAUUAUCUGUUUCGGGUGAGUCACUGAGAACACAGACAGGAAAGACCCAUGAACUUAGCUAGUUUCGCCCCAGGGUGUGAGACUCCACACAACUGAGUCUGGGCCACUGGCAGUGACUCAUGGCGGGCCUCAUGGGAUUGCUGACGCAAGGUUGGAAGGGCACGUGGUUCUUCCCCCCACCGCUGGGUAGAAUCCCCGCCAAAACAUCCAGGCUGGAAAUCCAUCUUGGUCCUUGGGGAGAGAGAAAAUAAAAAAGAAUCAUUUCUGAUACUAUAGCAAAGUAUACAGGUGGAUUUGGCAGGUCCAACUGACGAGUCUUCCACAUUCUGAAAGAAUUGGCUUUCUCACAAUGUUAGAGUCUCUAGGAGUACUGGGGAGUGCAAAUUCAACUGUUAUAACUGGCAUAUGCAGAGAAAACGGCCCUCCUAUCUCUUUUCUAUGACUUGUGAUGUCUUCCUCCUACUCCUGACCAUCCUCUUUGGGCCCCUGGGGGUUCCUGGCUGAUUUAGCCUCACCUGAGCUCUUGGUGUCACUAGAGACAAUCAGUGUGGCUGUGAGUCCCAUUCAUUCACUUCCUGACCAGGCUAUCACUCUGCCCUGUUCUACCUUUGCUGUUGGAGUUCAGGACAGGCUGCUCCAAAAUAUGGCCCCUUGGCAUUUUAGAAAACAGCAGAAGCAGUAAGGACACUCUCUGACCUCCUCUUGCCCUUCUCCCCUAAAGCAGACUAUCAAACCUAGACAGAAUUUUCUGACCACCUGAAAGAGACCACAAGAUCCUCAUUCAAGAGGUGCCUUCAGGCCGGGUGCAGUGGCUCAUGCCUGUAAUCCCAGCGCUUUGGGAGGCCGAGGUGGGCAGAUCAUGAGGUCAGGAGAUCGAGACCAUCCUGGCUAACAAGGUGAAACCCCUGUCUCUACUAAAAACACAAAAAAUUAGCCAGGCGUGGUGGCACACACCUGUAGUCCCAGCUACUUGGGAGGCUGAGGCAGGAGAAUCACUUGAACCCGGGAGGCAGAGGUUGAAGUGAGCUGAGAUCACACCACUGCACUCCAGCCUGGGUGACAGAAAGAGACUCAGUCUCAAAAAAAAAAAAAGGUGCCAUCUCUAUACCUAGAGGAAAGGAACAUCCUUAUCCUCAAAGACACAGAGGCCAGGAAGAAUCUGAACAAGGAGGUCUUGCUAAGUUCCCCCAAGGUUGUUACCAUCAGAUCACACCUUUUUGUCCUCCAAUCAUAUUUCUCCAUGACUAUCCACUCUUCAUCAACCCAAGCAUAAAAAUAAACAAGCUUCUCUCUUUCUUUGGGUCUUCGUUUCCAAAGGCUUCCAUCCACAUAAAACUUACAUUAAUACAUUUGUAUACCUUUCUCUUGUAAAUCUGUCUUUCGUAAGGGGCACCUUACCCAUGAACCUAGCGAUGGAUGUGCAAAGAAAAGGAACCUUUCCUCCCCUCCACCGGUGAGCUGGACUCUCAGCCACAUUUAGGUCCUGACUCAGGCACACAGGGACCCAGGGAACCUCACGAGAGUUAAAUCUCAAGAACUCCCAUUCUGCUGCCCACCUGCUAUACACAAAUGGGGUCUCAAAAUGGGGAACAAAGUCAAGAGCCACUAUCUGCCCUUGGUGUUUCUUUUAUUUAUCAUCAUUUUCUCUUCUUGAUGAAUUUCUAUUGCCAUUCAUUCAAAAGACCUAUUAAGUACCUGCUAUUUGACAGGCUUAACUGUGACCUCAUCCAGGAAGUUUUCCAAAAACUUCCUGAAAUGUCUCUUCCUGCUCUGUCUUUCCAGGGCACUUUAUUCCUACCUCCUAUUCUGCCUCUCACAUAUAUUGCAGGGAUCUGUCACUCCCCUGUUCUGUAGACCUCCCAUGUUCCUGCUCGAAAGGAGAAGCAGUCUUAUUCAGCUUCUCGCCACCAGCGCUUGACACUCUGAAUGUCUGUUGAUAAAAAAUGAAUAACGAAAGGAAACAGAGGCGCAAACUUAAGUAUAGAAACUCUUCAUACUCAGAGAGGCAGCAUGGUUUUGUGGUUCAGGGCACAGGCUCUGAAGUCAGACCGCCUUGGUUUUAAUCCUGGCUGUAAGAUUUAGCAGGAGUAUGAGCCUAGGCAAGUUAUUUAACUGCCGUGUGCCUCACCUUCCACAUUUGAAAAGCGGCAAUAAUAAGUACCUGCCUCAUAGUGUGCUCGUGUGGAUUAAAUAAAAUAAUCUAUAGUAAGCAUUCAGAAUAAUGACAGGUAUGUAGUAAAUGCUCAGUAAAUGUAAACUAUUACUGUUUGUUCUUCCCCAGUGGAUUUGAGUCUUUAUGGUGAAAUGCGUAUGCACUUAGAUGAACAAAUGGAUGGAUUUAGGGUGUGAUUUGAGUUCCAUUUUCAGUUAAAAACAGAGGGGAAAAGUCAAUGGAUUUUAUGCUUUGCCGUCAGACUUCCCCAGGUAGAUGGGAGAUACAUCUAAUUUGUAUUCUCUUUGCUUUACAUGGAAUCUAAUGCAACAAGAAGGAUGAAGGGGCAUAGCAAAGUGUAGCUGUGUGUAACAAAGAAAAUAUAGUUGGAGGGCAAAAUUUGUCAUCAAAGAAGGAAAAAAGUAUGCAUUUUUCUUACUGAAAAAAAAUGCAUAGUUUUUUCGUUGUUUGCUUCAGCAGUACAUAUGCUAAAAUGGGAAUGAUACAGAGAAGAUUAGCAUUGGCCCCUGUGCAAGGAUGACAUGCAAAUUAGUGAAGUGUUCCAUAUUUUAAAAAAAUCAUGAAGGUAGGAUUUGGGACCAGUUCCACAAUAUGAACUGCUAAAAACCCAUAAGAUAAAUGGUUACUUUUAGGGAGCUGGCAGCAAUCCCUGGUCUGAAAACAUGUAAUUUGAGACAAUUUAGUUAAUCUUGAAUUUGAACAAGCUCCUCAAUAAACUCUUUAAAAAGUGUCAAAUGAGCUUUCUCUAAGGAUUCCCCCAACACUCACCUUUGGUCUGGUAGCUCUCACUGGUGUCUCACCUCUCUGUUCAAUGUCACAACUUUGCUAGAAAGUAUAGUGGUGCCCCCUUAUCCAUGGGGAAUAUAUUCUAAGACACCCCAGUGGAUGCCUAAAACUGCUGAUAGUACCAAACUCUUUAUGUGCUAUGUGUUUUCCUAUACAUGUAUAUAUAUGAUAAAGUUUAGUUUAUAAAUUAGGUGUACUAAGAGAUUAACAACAAUAAACUAGAAUAGUUGUAACAAUAUACUGCAAUAAAAGCUAUGGAAAUGUGGUCUUUCUCUCUCUUUCAAAAUAUCUUGUUGUACUGUUCUGCAGGGUAGUUAAAACUGCAGAAAUCAAAACUGUGGAUAAGGAAGGACUACUGUAGUCACAGACUCUUCCAGAAACAGUCAGAUGAAGUCUUGAAAAAGUGCCCAUGAACAUGGGAACCACUUGUAGCAGAUCAUGGAGACCACAGAAAGUUAAAACACACAAAAUGCUGCCUCCAGUUCCCAGAGCACUGAAAAGAAGAGUCUCACGCUAGGUUGGGGAGUUAGGGAAAACGUGCUAAGCAAAAUGAGGCAGAAAAACACACACACACACACACACACACACACACACACACACAAACACACACACACGGGAAGGUGACCAAAAGUGCAGGGCAGCAUGAGGGGAAUUUGGAGCACACCAGGGAAGUGAAGUACAGACUUGCUCACACUCCUGCAACUCCCUCACCCUCUUUUCCUGGAUCUCUGGCUUUCCCUGGAUUUCCCGUAAUAGGAUCUUCCAUUUUCACCUCUUCUUUUACUCCCCUUCACCCUCUGUCUCAUUUACUUAUGAACUGAAACUGGCCUUCAUCGGCUGGAGACAAGAAAGAUGUUUAGCCCAGUGGUUCUCAAGGUUUGCUGUGGGGGAGUCAGAGGCUGGGCAGUCUCCAUUUGUCCUGCAGAGCCACUCACGGUCCUUCUCACCAUGCCCCAUGCCCUAGGGGGCUGCCUCCUGUGUAGCAAAACUACAGGCUCUCUUGCCUCUGGCUUCUGGUUUGCAGAAGAUUGGCAAAGUGAGGUUGGUGUCCUUAUACCCCUAUUGGGCCAUCAAGCACUGGCUGAGUCCCUCCAUGGCAAAAUUCCAAGCACAUCCUAUCUUAUGGCCCUUCCCACAGUCCCUCUGCUCCAGAUUCCAGUAACCCAUUUGCCGCGCGUGCCCCUGCAUAGCUGCACCUAGGCUGUUAACAGCGCACAGCACUUGUGACUUCUCCUUACCCCGACUACCUCUCUGAAAUGGUCCCUUUAUUAAACCCUCCUAAAAUUAUCCUAAUUUGAGUGUGUCAUCAGUUUCCUUCAGGGGCACUGACACAACAGGGAGCUUGUCUAAACUUCAGAUUCCUGGGUAUUGACUGCAGAAAUUCUGAAUAAAUAGGAGGUCCUGAGGGGAUCUACAUUUUUAGCAGGUGCCUAAUUCUGAUGCUGGUGGUCCAGGGAUGAUUUUGAGAGAGAUUUGCCUACACCUUAACUGUUACAGUGGACACAGUUCAGAUUGAGUCAAAUAGUGAGAAUAACGCAGCCCUCAUAGUUCCCAUUGUUCCAUUGUCUCUCCUGAGAAGUCCACAUUUCUGGGUGGGAUCAUUGUGAGCCAAGUUGGGAAAGGCAGGGAGAUUUCUGAACCAAGCCCUGGAAUCUGUGGGAGGGCUCUGGUAGCCAGAAAAGUAGAAUUACAGAGCAUCAGAGUAUGUGACAUAGAGUUUCUCAACACCUCAUCGAUUUAUGCUGGCACAGUUUACCUAUAGCCGAGGGCCCCUGAAGUUUAUUUGUAUUGAUUGCAACAUCACUCACAGAAUGGGGAGAUGUAAUAGAUGGCAUAUGCUCGAACAUGAAGUUGAAGAGUGGGAUCUAUGCAAGCCAGCCAUGCAUGCCACUGGUCUCCCCAAUGGUUGUUACUAACACAGUGUGAAAAGGAGGCACUUGGCCAAAGAGAAAAGAAUCAGAAAAUGAACUGGUGUUAGGGAAACAACAAGCACCAAUCAGGCAUGCAGAGAAAACCCAAAACCUACUUGCAUCUUGAAGUCCUAUGGACAGAAGCCUGUCCUGUUUUGCAAGUAUCAGGUGUAUUCCUGGAAGAUGACUAUUUCAGGUAUUUGGAGUAAUACUUGUUUAGGUAACAGGGCAGACAGCAGAGGUGGUUGAAGAAGAACAAUGCCUCUUCUGGGAACUGCAACCUCCUGCUGUUUGUCUGUUUCCCUUCUUAGCAUAGUAACUCAGAAGGUAGAGGGGCCAGCUCAGAUUCUCCUUCACAAGGACAUGCUGUAGAUGUCAGGCCCCACCACUAGUGCCUGCCUUGAAGGUCUUCAAGCAAGAAUCUGGUCAUAGACAUCCCCUUAAAGAAAAUCUAAUUUAAAUCCUCUGCUAUUGCUAAAUGAUGUGCCAGAAGAGAUUACCCAAAUAAACUAAUUUGCAAUGACUUGAAUGAAGUACACGUUCCCCUGGCAUUCUGCUUCCCACCAUAGCACGCCUAGGUGUGAUAUGCUAUUAAUCCCUUGGUAGCUCUAGAAGAAGAAGAUGGGCUGUAGUAUCUAAACCCUGGAUUCAAAUCUUGGCUCUGUCACCUGCUUUGGAAGGGU